CAUAUAUAUAUAUAAGUAGCGGUACAUCAAUUAAUAUCUAUCCAUUCAUCAGUAGGCCGCUUCUAACAUUUCUCCACACGAAAAAUGUUCGUGGUUAAUUUAAUAGCAGUUAUACUUUUGACCAACGUCAUUUCUAUCGGUUCAAAUCCUGUCAGAUACUUAGCAGCAAAUCCGGCAAACUUACUCUGCAUAUAUCCGUUUGGUUAUUAUUUUGUUAAUGGAUACAGAUAUAGGAUCUCCAACUGCAACACAGCUAACGAUCGCGUGUACUUUCAUUACCACGACAAUUAUCACGCGCAAAAUCCGGCUAGAAAUGUGAUAUAUCAGUAAAAAGUUAUGCAAUGCAUCAUAAAACAACCUUUACACAUCAGGAAUAAUUUUAUCAUCGAUCA
RNAcentral lists this long non-coding RNA (392 nucleotides) under Androctonus crassicauda. The record is from RNAcentral. Lineage: Eukaryota; Metazoa; Arthropoda; Arachnida; Scorpiones; Buthidae.